This is a long non-coding RNA of Pantherophis guttatus, 463 nucleotides long. RefSeq lists it as uncharacterized. Lineage: Eukaryota; Metazoa; Chordata; Lepidosauria; Squamata; Colubridae. The record is from RefSeq and is a predicted model, not a curated record.
AUGCUUAUUUCACAGCUUUGUCUGCUAUUAUACAGAAGCUUUGACUGUUCCACAGAGCAGAUCCAGGUAGUCCUCGACUUGUGAUCACAACUGAACCCAAAAUUCCUGUGCUAAACAAGAUACUUGUUUCGUGACUUUUUCCCCAUUUUAUAACCUUUCUUGCCACAGUUGUUAAGUGAAUCACUGCUGUUGUUAAGAAGGUAACAUGAUGAAGUGAAUCUGUAUUUCCCAUUAACUUUAUUUGUCAGGACACAAAAGGUUAUCACAUGAUUCCAGGACAUGUAACUAUCACUAAUAUGAACCAAUUGCCAGGAGUCCAAUUCCCCCCACCCCCAGACGCCAGGCACCUGAAUUUUGUUCACAUCACCAUGAGAACAGUAAUAAGUAUGAAAAAUGGUCAUAAGUCAGUUUUUUCAGUGCCCUUGUAACUUUGAACAGUCAUUAAAUGAGUGGUUGUAAAUCA